This 1484-nucleotide ribosomal RNA is filed under the name Helicobacter pylori. RNAcentral describes it as "bacterial SSU rRNA". It matches the Rfam family "Bacterial small subunit ribosomal RNA". Lineage: Bacteria; Pseudomonadati; Campylobacterota; Epsilonproteobacteria; Campylobacterales; Helicobacteraceae. The record is from RNAcentral.
AGAGUUUGAUCCUGGCUCAGAGUGAACGCUGGCGGCGUGCCUAAUACAUGCAAGUCGAACGAUGAAGCUUCUAGCUUGCUAGAGUGCUGAUUAGUGGCGCACGGGUGAGUAACGCAUAGGUCAUGUGCCUCUUAGUUUGGGAUAGCCAUUGGAAACGAUGAUUAAUACCAGAUACUCCCUACGGGGGAAAGAUUUAUCGCUAAGAGAUCAGCCUAUGUCCUAUCAGCUUGUUGGUAAGGUAAUGGCUUACCAAGGCUAUGACGGGUAUCCGGCCUGAGAGGGUGAACGGACACACUGGAACUGAGACACGGUCCAGACUCCUACGGGAGGCAGCAGUAGGGAAUAUUGCUCAAUGGGGGAAACCCUGAAGCAGCAACGCCGCGUGGAGGAUGAAGGUUUUAGGAUUGUAAACUCCUUUUGUUAGAGAAGAUAAUGACGGUAUCUAACGAAUAAGCACCGGCUAACUCCGUGCCAGCAGCCGCGGUAAUACGGAGGGUGCAAGCGUUACUCGGAAUCACUGGGCGUAAAGAGCGCGUAGGCGGGAUAGUCAGUCAGGUGUGAAAUCCUAUGGCUUAACCAUAGAACUGCAUUUGAAACUACUAUUCUAGAGUGUGGGAGAGGUAGGUGGAAUUCUUGGUGUAGGGGUAAAAUCCGUAGAGAUCAAGAGGAAUACUCAUUGCGAAGGCGACCUACUGGAACAUUACUGACGCUGAUUGCACGAAAGCGUGGGGAGCAAACAGGAUUAGAUACCCUGGUAGUCCACGCCCUAAACGAUGGAUGCUAGUUGUUGGAGGGCUUAGUCUCUCCAGUAAUGCAGCUAACGCAUUAAGCAUCCCGCCUGGGGAGUACGGUCGCAAGAUUAAAACUCAAAGGAAUAGACGGGGACCCGCACAAGCGGUGGAGCAUGUGGUUUAAUUCGAAGAUACACGAAGAACCUUACCUAGGCUUGACAUUGAGAGAAUCCGCUAGAAAUAGUGGAGUGUCUGGCUUGCUAGACCUUGAAAACAGGUGCUGCACGGCUGUCGUCAGCUCGUGUCGUGAGAUGUUGGGUUAAGUCCCGCAACGAGCGCAACCCCCUUUCUUAGUUGCUAACAGGUUAUGCUGAGAACUCUAAGGAUACUGCCUCCGUAAGGAGGAGGAAGGUGGGGACGACGUCAAGUCAUCAUGGCCCUUACGCCUAGGGCUACACACGUGCUACAAUGGGGUGCACAAAGAGAAGCAAUACUGCGAAGUGGAGCCAAUCUUCAAAACACCUCUCAGUUCGGAUUGUAGGCUGCAACUCGCCUGCAUGAAGCUGGAAUCGCUAGUAAUCGCAAAUCAGCCAUGUUGCGGUGAAUACGUUCCCGGGUCUUGUACUCACCGCCCGUCACACCAUGGGAGUUGUGUUUGCCUUAAGUCAGGAUGCUAAAUUGGCUACUGCCCACGGCACACACAGCGACUGGGGUGAAGUCGUAACAAGGUAACCGUAGGUGAACCUGCGGUUG